RNAcentral lists this transfer RNA (86 nucleotides) under Klebsiella pneumoniae. RNAcentral describes it as "tRNA-Tyr(gta)". The stretch from base 7 to 79 matches the Rfam family "tRNA", at positions 5 to 66 of the family's 71-position model. From Rfam's summary of the family: Transfer RNA (tRNA) molecules are approximately 80 nucleotides in length. The record is from RNAcentral. Lineage: Bacteria; Pseudomonadati; Pseudomonadota; Gammaproteobacteria; Enterobacterales; Enterobacteriaceae.
CUGGUGGGGUUCCCGAGCGGCCAAAGGGAGCAGACUGUAAAUCUGCCGUCAUCGACUUCGAAGGUUCGAAUCCUUCCCCAUGGGGC